GAACUCUAAGCAAUCAAACAAGACCUUGUGUUUCUUUUAUUUGCUACAUGGACUGUCCAUUUGGUCUGGUAUAAUAUUACACGCCCGAUCCUUUUCCUUCAUGAUGGCCUUUUCCUGUUCGCAUCGAGCCAUCCAUGGGAUUGUGUCCUGGGUCUUCCCUGCGUGGAGAGUGCUUUGAGUAGUUAGAAAAGUGCUACAUAAAUGUGCAGUUAUUUUUACCGCUUCCUCACGACACUGGUCAUUGAAUUGUUUUGCUUGAAAAUGCAGCGGUGGUUGCUACCACAUUGGGCCUGGUUAAGCGACUCUAGCCUAGUCAUUUUGGGGUUUUGGUUUCCCAAUAUGUACAUCAAUUAAUUGUUAUUUUCACUCAUCCACUACUCACCACGCAAAGCUAUCAGUCAUUAGCAUUAGUGUAAUAAACCUUUAUUCACAUGGCCCAAGUGGAUGCAAGAAAGUCGCUAUCAUGCUGGUCUUACUGGUGAUUAAUGUCCGACAACAGAAUAGACCAAUUUUCUUAUUCUUUUUUUGGUAUUUUUAUUAUCAUUUUGGAUUUUUUUGUCCCUUUUUCCACAUGUUUUGCCUAUUUUUUAAUUUUUCUUCCUAAAUCUAUUAACCAGACAGACACACAGAUACAGAGACACUUUGUGCUUUUAUUAUGGUGGAUUCAUUUGUGUUGUGAUGAUCUUCUAACUGAAGAUGCGCUUUUGUAUCAGACUGAACUGAAUUUAAUUACGUGACUUUGGUAAAAAAGAAAUGAAUGGAUAAACUGAAACCUUAAAUUCAGAUAAAGCAUUAGUGGAACCAGCAACCACUUCCCUGUAGGCCCACUUGGGCUGUUCUGUGGGCAGAGAGAGCUAGGACUGCCCCGCAAUCCCACACCAUGGCCAGAGGGAACCGUGAAGUUCAGCCUGUUCAGGUUUUAGGUGCCAUCAACAGAUCACCAACUUGAGUUGGUCCAAUAUUUCUAAUGUAUAUUUAUCUCACUAACCAACUGUACUACCCGUCUAAGAUGGGUUGAACUCUAAGUAAUCAACACAGACCUCCCCAUUAAUGUUUGCAGUGCAUCGUGCAAUGCAUAUGUCUCUGUUAUAUGCCAUUUGGUAUAAGAAUAGUAAAAGCAAUGUUAAUAUUUGUGAUGCGCCAUCGACAAGUGCAAUGCGUUUUAUUACUGAAAUGUCAGUGAGAUGCCAUCUUUUGAAAUAACAGAGACAUAGCAACCAGACGGACAAAUAGACAAGACACACAGACACUUCUCCUUUUAUCCGGGCAGAUGCUACUGAAAUUGUGAUAAACUAAACUAUCAAGGACAAUUUUAGAACACUUAGGCUGGUGGGGAAAUUACUAGCAUGUUGGGGCCCACUGGUGAUUCAAGCAGCACAAUCCCGAGUUUAACAAUGUGAUGCAGGCUGAUGGUGCAGUCAACCAUUGAAAGAGUGGGGAGGGGGAGUCCCCCUUGACAUAUUGAUCAGCACAAUUAAAGAAGUGUGACUGAAGAAGCACAAGGGGGUACCCCUUGGUGAUUUGAGUAGCAUGAUUGAUGAGCAAAGGGAUAUCCAUUGAUGUUGGCAUUUCCAGCAACACGAUUACAAAGUGGGAAUGGGUCCCCCAUUGUGUUUCAGGUGGGACAAUCACAGGUCUGCAAUGAGAUUGUGAGGCAAGGCCAAUUUGCCCCUCCAGCACACCCCCCUGAUCUGUCCUUGGUUGUGAUACUAUCCCCCCUAAAAACCCAGGGAGAAAAAAAAGGAACAUUUUGUUCAUAUUCUGAACCUCAACCAUGUCGACAGGCAUUGUACCCUCAUUUAUGAUUGGUCUCUGUAACACUCCACAUUCGUAUUGCAUCCCAAGAUUAUUUAUCAUCCAUCCAUCCAUUACACAACCCGCUAUACUACAGGGUCAUGGGGUCUGCUGGAGCCAAUCUCAGCUAACACAGGGCGCAAGGCAGGAAACAAACUCUGGGCAGGGCGCCAGCCCACCGCAGGAUUAUUUAUCAUUCAUUGGUAAAUUUGUAAAUAACUUUGUUAGUUGUGUCAAAUAUUAGAAUGAUUAUUUCUUUUUAUCUUUAAUGCCUCUCCCUUUUUUUAAGUUUUCUGUUGACAUUUAUCAUUGUCUUGGCCUAGGACAUUACACUUGAAUUAAAAAAAAGUAUUAAUUUGUUUCCAUUUCUGUAAGACAAAUAUUUCAGUAAGUAACCAAGAAAAUACUUUGAAAGAAAAUGCAUAACAGCCAUAAAAAUGAAAUUGGAAAAGAUCCAUCCAUCCAUCCAUUUUCCAACCCGCUGAAUCCAAACACAGGGUCACGGGGGUCUGCUGGAGCCAAUCCCAGCCAACACAGGGCACAAGGCAGGGAAUCAAUCCUGGGCAGGGUGCCAACCCACCGCAGGACACACAUAAACACACCCACACACCAAGCACACUAGUGAUGGGCGGAGUGAAGCCUCAUGAAGCAUCAACACGUUUGAAGCAAUUGUGUCGGAAAUCGUAUCGAAGCUUCGAAGCAUUUGACACUCACCUCUCUAGGGACACCUCUUGGCCAUUUGUAUUAACAGCACAUUUUAACAGUAAACUCUUAGAGCAUUGUGGACGAAUACCGAAUCUCUAUGAAGAUGUGAUAUACACCUUUGAAGUCAAAAAUUAUAAUUGGCAAUAAUGUCAAGCAUUGUAAAUCGACAUACGCUUAGCAAGUAAUUAUUCUGCAGUAAUCUGAUCAACGUUGACUAGAUACGUUAGGCGCCAGCACGGAUUACCGUUGUUUAGAAGUAAAUGUAUGCGUAACGGUGGCUUGAACAAUUACGCCAGUCGGACAGCGCCAGGUCUCGUGUUCAAUAACAAACCUGGUCAGCAUCUGUCUGGGGAUUACAGAUUUCCGUUGCCUGAUGCGUUUGAUAGUUCCGAUUAUGCGGCAAUGCUCCUUGAAAACCUGGUUGGUGUUAGACUUCCAAUCGGGAAUUUAAUCUGCAUAAUGUACAUUCAUAUUCUAAUUCCAAUGUAAAACCAGCAUAUAUCAGUAUUUGAAUUAAACUCUUCAACCAAACUAGACUACAUCUCGUGGAAAUGCGAUUGGUCCAUUACUAACUGUCACUAAAUUUUGCAAUAACUACACUGUAAAAAAAUUCUGUAAAUUUACAUUGAAAUUUAACAGCAAAAUGCUGUUUUCAUGAAAUAUCAGUAGGUUGCCGUUUUUUACAGUGCAUUGUGGGAAGACUUGUUCACUUCAGGUUAGUGUCACAGGUGUCUGGUCACACUUAUAGGUAAUCUAACUUAGACACCAUUAAAAUAUCCGACUACGCCACCCAGUUUUAUUAAGAGACUGGGAACUCCUCAAAUUUACCAAUAAUAGCACACAGGUUUCUUUAAAUUGGGCGGUGAGUAAACACACAAUGAAAUACACAGCAGUAAUUUAGAAAAAAGCAACAGUAAGUUCUAUUGUACAAGACAAUAUAAGGUACAUUAAAAAGAUAAACGAACAUAACAGAACCUAAACGUAUCAGGAAUUAAUGACAUUUUUUUAAAAGGAAAAUACACAGUCCACACUCUAAAAGUCCGUAAAAACAAGAAUUGUAGGAUACAACCUUUAGUGGUGCAGAGUCCAGUUUGGGCACUGUGUUACCCCAACACUUAAUUGUUCAUGGAUGCACUCUGUUACCCGGCAGAAGGUGUGUCAAAUUGUUGACUCCUUGUCAGCGUCUCUUUGUUGUCCCUUUUUCUUCCACUCUGGGCUCCUUGUGUUGCUGGGACCUAGGCACGCCUCAUUUCUCGUCUGUCAGCUUCGCUUGGUCCUCUCAUGCGGCUUCCCUCUUUCGCUGGACCCACAACUGGCGUCUCCUUGUGGAGCUGUCUCUUCCUCCCUGGAAGUAUAUGUUGCCGUCCUUGUGCCUCACGUCGUGCCAGCCAGGUACCCUUGUCUGUCUGCGAGCCCCUGUGCCCUGUCCGAGUGUCUUGGCAGCGUUUCCUGUGGACUCUCCCUUCUGCCUUCUGCUGGCCAGCAGUUUAUAUUUACUUCACCCCUCUGUUGUCAGUCCUGGACAAACAGUUUAAUCCAUGGCACAUCUAAAUUGCCUGGGUUUAACAAUUAAUAAAAACACAAACAAAAUGUAUGGUUACCAAACAUUAAUAAGUACAGAUAUGCUGAUUAGGAACCAAUAUUUCCAAGCCAGGUAAAUACAGACAUUCUACCAAGGCCAGACUUCAAAGCAGUGAUUCUCUUGCAGGACAGCAAAUACCAUUAAUAAAUACAGAUAGCCUUUUAACUUCUCACCCCCCCUAGUCCCAACAGUGGGUGCCUAAUGGAACCACCCAGUGCACAAAAAAAAAUGUAAAAGUGUCCCCCUCUGACAUCCCCCCAGACUUAACCAUUGUCAGUCCCGGACAAUCAGUUUAAUCUUCUUAUUCUCUAUAACGGGCUGGGGGUCUCCCCAAAUUUUCCCUCCUCGAUCGGCGCAACUCCACAGCUCCCCCCUCUGGGACAUCACUAUUUUCUGUAGAGGCUGGGUUUCCCAUUGUCCAAAACCCAUAUAUGGUAAGUCCAGGUGGAGAUGGUUCGGCCGUUGGGGUAGCUGAAGUACUUAGUGGAGACAAACAAUAAGGCUUUAAAGCAUUACGGUGCACAUUUUUCUCUCUACCUCCCCCUUCUGGUCUCACUUUAUACACCACCCCAGAAUCCCCUACCUGGCCAAGCACCACAUAGGGUUCUUGGUUCCCCCAACCUGUCAGCUUCCCUUCUCCUUGUCUACCUCUAUUCCUCAGCCAUACUCUUUCUCCAGGAAGCAAUGUAAUAGCCUGAGCUUUCUUAUGCCAAGCUGUAUUAUGUUGUACUGCCUUAUCCAUCCUCCCCUUAGCAGUUUGACUUGUAUUGGGUAGAUUCUGCAGACGUCCCUUCACCCAUUCUUCCCUCGUGCCCCCUCUGGCAGGGACCCUCACACUAUGGCAGAAGGCUGGUUGUUUGUAUCUGCUGAAUCCAUUUUCCCGGUGUGCCAUGGCAUGUCGACACACAGCAGAGCUGUUAGACCCUGCUUCCUGCGUACUGGGGGCUGCUUGAGAUAGUACCACUGGUGACUCUGGAGCCUGAAAAACAGCUUGCCAACAAGCAGAGAUUACAUUCAUUCCAAUCAGCAAUGGGCUUGUCUGGACCUCAUCUCGCACAAUCACAACCCCUCUUGCAGGUAACUUUACUGUAGCCACCUCAAAAUCCAUUGUGGCGUACCCUGUAUAGGGGAUAUCCAACCCAUUGGCAGCUUUCAGGGUUAGAAGAAACGGGGCCUGCCCAACUUCUAUGUUAUCUGCAAAAUGCUGCUUGAAAAAGCUCUCUUGCAUCAGGGUAACCUGGGAUCCAGUGUCUAACAGUCCAUUUAAGGUUUUCCCUUCAAUGGUGACCUGUACCACGGGACAUUCAACAAUAAGAGGGGAUAUUGCCUUUCGGGUUUCACUGCCCAACCCUGCUAUCUGGCCCACAGCUGCAGGGUUCACAAGUUCAAAAGUAGGGCGCCCACUAGAGGAUGGACAGUUCCGUGCCAAAUGACCUGCUUGUCUGCACUGAUUACAAAUGGGCCUACCUUGUGAAUCCCAGGCAUAACGGCUGUUAGUGUGAGGCCUCCUAUCUGGCUGAGAGUGUGCGAAUGGCUGGGCAGCAUCAACCUGUGGAACUGCUGGCCUCAGUUCCUUCAGCAGCUCCUGAGUCCAUUCCUUCAUCUGUGUUUUCAGGUCACCCAGAAUCUCGGCCUUGAAUGCUAGUCUCCAGUCUGCCUGUGAAUGAGAAUUAGUUGCGGAGAGCUCACCAAUAGCUCCGCAAGUUGCUUCCCUGUGUCCCGUAUAAUUACAUUCCCCUUCCAGCAGCAGAGCCUCUUGAUGCACUUCCCCAUAAGUUUUAUCUGGAUUGUGGCGCACAAAUGUCCGUAGUGCUUGUCGCAUCCACUGUCAUGGAGGCCCAACAAGAGCUGAUCUCGCAGCUGUAUAUCAGAGGGGGCUUGGGCUGGGCUACGCUGUUGUAACCUGCAAUGAAGUUCUCUCAAUUUAAGGACAAAAGCUCUGAAAGGUUCGUUAGUCCUUUGUGCACAACAGUAAAAUUGGGACAUCAGAGUAGCUAAUGGGACUUGGUCACCGUAUAAUCUAUCUAGAACAAGAAAAAUCUUUGUAACCCUAUCUCUUUCUUCCACACUCAACACACUGACUUCCCGUUUAGCAUCCCCAGUCAAUGCUCCCAUCACAAUACUGACCUUUUGAGACUCCCCAUAUUCAGCAGCUUCUAAUAACCCCUGCAUCUGUUCUUUCCACUCAGCAUAUUUCAAAUCACCUUUUUCCCCACUAAACUUGGCAAUCCAAGGUGCACCGGCAAAAAUAGGCAUCAUCAUGAUGAAAAAUAGAAAAAACACAAUAAAACUACCCCACAAAAUCAAUAACUAAAUAAAAAUGGAUUUAAAAAAAAUGCCUAGUACUUCCAAGUGUGUUACUCACAAGCCCAAUCCUGCCGACUACUGCCAAAAUUAUGUCACAGAGGUCUGGUCACACUUAUAGGUAAUCUAACUUAGACACCAUUAAAAUAUCCGACUACGCCACCCAGUUUUAUUAAGAGACUGGGAACUCCUCAAAUUUACCAAUAAUAGCACACAGGUUUCUUUAAAUUGGGCGGUGAGUAAACACACAAUGAAAUACACAACAGUAAUUUAGAAAAAAGCAACAGUAAGUUCUAUUGUACAAGACAAUAUAAGGUACAUUAAAAAGAUAAACGAACAUAACAGAACCUAAACGUAUCAGGAAUUAAUGACCUUUUUUUAAAAGGAAAAUACACAGUCCACACUCUAAAAGUCCGUAAAAACAAGAAUUGUAGGAUACAACCUUUAGUGGUGCAGAGUCCAGUUUGGGCACUGUGUUACCCCAACACUUAAUUGUUCAUGGAUGCACUCUGUUACCUGGCAGAAGGUGUGUCAAAUUGUUGACUCCUUGUCAGCGUCUCUUUGUUGUCCCUUUUUCUUCCACUCUGGGCUCCUUGUGUUGCUGGGACCUAGGCACGCCUCAUUUCUCGUCUGUCAGCUUCGCUUGGUCCUCUCAUGCGGCUUCCCUCUUUCGCUGGACCUACAACUGGCGUCUCCUUGUGGAGCUGUCUCUUCCUCCCUGGAAGUAUAUGUUGCCGUCCUUGUGCCUCACGUCGUGCCAGCCAGGUACCCUUGUCUGUCUGCGAGCCCCUGUACCCUGUCCGAGUGUCUUGGCAGCGUUUCAUGUGGACUCUCCCUUCUGCCUUCUGCUGGCCAGCAGUUUAUAUUUACUUCACCCCUCUGUUGUCAGUCCUGGACAAACAGUUUAAUCUAUGGCACAUCUAAAUUGCCUGGGUUUAACAAUUAAUAAAAACACAAGUUAACAAAAUGUAUGGUUACCAAACAUUAAUAAGUACAGAUAUGCUGAUUAGGAACCAAUAUUUCCAAGCCAGGUAAAUACAGACAUUCUACCAAGGCCAGACUUCAAAGCAGUGAUUCUCUUGCAGGACAGCAAAUACCAUUAAUAAAUACAGAUAGCCUUUUAACUUCUCACCCCCCCUAGUCCCAACAGUGGGUGCCUAAUGGAACCACCCAGUGCACAAAAAAAAAUGUAAAAGUGUCCCCCUCUGACAUCAGUGGUCGAACAACAACAGUAUGUCACUGUUAUUUAACGGUAUUAUAUCAUAUUUUUCGAUUUGUGCGACGUGUAUUAUCACCACGAGGUAGUUUGCACCUUUAUCUAUGUUUGUCAUAUCUUUAAAAAUAUUACAUUGGAGUUUUUAUAAUGUUUUAAUCAGACAAAGCAAUAAUUAGUAAAAGUCAUGCAAAGUAUUUCUAAAAAUAACGUUAUAAAAACAUGUGGGUAACGGAUCAAUUAAAACAGAGACCAUCGUCGUAGCUGGGUGGCUACACACAGAAAGCAAAGUGUUUGAAAUUCAAAAAUCUGCGCAACUGCCAUACUACAUUAAAAUUGCCAUCGUGUUGCUAACAGGUAAGAGUUCGCUUUUAUUCAAACUGUUCAUUUGACUAAAAAUCUGCAACUUUCUGUCGAAGAGUGUGGGAGGAGCAUUGUGGAGUUUUUUAAAACCAGGCCAACUAAUUCAGAAGUUAAGGCAGUUCUUUCCAAGGAGGAAGCCAUUGAUUCAGCCCAUCUCAUUGUUCAACUCCUAAUGGCUCACUUUGCAGAGAAUCAAGAUGGGCUUAUUCUUCCAGAAAAUGUAAGUUAUUCUUUAUAUACAUUGUUAUUAGUUCUUACCAUACAUUAUUAUUAGUUCUUACUAUGAACAAAUGUGUAGGAAUGGUUCAAUCAAAUACUUAUAGGACUCAUUUGACUACAAAUUUUAAUAUUUGAUAUUUUAAUAAAGAAAUUGUCUGUUUGUCUACACUGUGCAAGAAAAUGGUUACAUUGAAACUACAAAGGCACCAUUAAGUUAAUAUAUAGGGCUUUGAUAAUUUAUUGUCUUAAAGCAAUCUAAUUCCAUAUAACUGAGUGAACAACCAAAAGAAUUUUUUUUUUUUUUUUUUUUUUUGCUGUGCAUCUAGAAGUCUUCCAUUUUGACUCUUAUUCUGUGCACUGUAUAGACAAACAGAUAUUAAAUGUUGAAAAUAUGUAUUUUGUGUCAGUAUUAACAAAAAGGUAAAUAAGUUAAGAAGUAUAUAUUUGGAUAAGCUAUUCUUGUUUUAAUAGGUACAUUGUCAAAUAUUAUUAGCACAUAUGUUUUUUGGAGAUGUUAAUUUCUAAUUCUUAUCUUUAACAAUAGAUGUCUGCCACCUUGAGAAGACUGGUAACCUACCUGUGACUCCUCGAUUGAUCCUGCUUGGUCCAAGUGAUACUCAAGGGCAGUGGAUGAAACAAUGGAUGAUCAUUGCUUGGAGGGCAGAAUAAUCUGCGAGGGUGUGCAACCAACCUUUCUCACUGGACUUGCUGCUUUGUUUUCACUGUAUUACAUCUUCAACCUGCAAUAUCAAGAGGAAGCAGCAUCCACACUGGAAUUCCUUCAAAGACAAUUUGUUGGAAUAAAUCCAGAAAAAGGGACCAAGGCUGCAAAAGGAAAAGUGACAUCUAAAAAGAUUGGGAAAACUGUUCAAAAGAAGACCAUGACAGUCAAUCUGAAAGUGUCAAAUCUUUUAAAAACAUUGAUGGACUUUGAGUGGCACUUUAUUUAAAAUUUUUUUUUUACAGUGGUUUGUAUAUACUGUUAUAUAUUUUUUAGUAUUCUACUUUUUAUAUCCAGAAAGGACUGGUGUUUGAUAAAGCCUUUUGUUGAUUUAUUUUAUAUAUAUUUGUCCCUGAAGCUUGAUUUGAAGCUUGUUUAUUAUUUAAUGUCAAGUUGAGGCAUUUCGAAAUUGUUUUUGUUUUCUUAAGCCAUCUUUGUAUUUCUCCAUGUUAUGGCUGCUUAUUUGUUGCACCAUAGUUUAUGCACUCCAAAAUAUGAUGGCUUGCAUUUUUCACAUUUUUUGGCAAAAAAAAAAAACAGCUUAACAAUUAAUAUAAUGUUAAAUGGAAAUAAAGAAGGACUAAAACAAUAAGUUGGCCUUAUUUAUUUUGUUUUACACAAAUAUAAAAUGC
This is a long non-coding RNA of Erpetoichthys calabaricus (reedfish), 9533 nucleotides long. RefSeq lists it as uncharacterized. The transcript is spliced from 3 exons. NCBI's taxonomy places the organism in Eukaryota, Metazoa, Chordata, Cladistia, Polypteriformes, Polypteridae. The record is from RefSeq and is a predicted model, not a curated record.